Molecule: ribosomal RNA, 420 nt
Filed under: uncultured eukaryote
Lineage: Eukaryota
Description: partial 18S ribosomal RNA
Rfam family: Eukaryotic small subunit ribosomal RNA
Source: RNAcentral
CCCUUAGUUAUCCUAGGUCGCACGCGCCAUACAAUGUGGCGCACAACGAGUCUCCUUGGCCGACAGGAUGUCCCGCGAGCGAUCGGCGACGCAGCCAGCUCGGUCUUCGGGCAGACUCGGUGAGAGUGGCCCGUCCUCCUGAGAGGGCGAUCGUCGAUGCCUCGGGAUUCUGGGCAAUCUGGCAGAGCGCUACGUGACUGGGCUAGACUUUUGUAAUUUUUGGUCUUGAGCGAGGAAUGCCUAGUAAUCGCAGGUCAGCAUCCUGCGAUGAUUCGGUCCCUGCCCUUUGUACACACCGCCCGUCACUCCAUCCGUGGCAUGCGCCGGUGAAGAGGGGGAGGCAGCGUCGGCCGUGUAACAGCGGAUCGUACGUGGAACCCCUCUGAACCUUCGCACGUAGAGGAAGGAGAAGUCGUAACA